AUCCAACUGACGAGUCCUAAAUAGGACGAAAUGCGCGUUAUCCUGUAU
Molecule: non-coding RNA, 48 nt
Organism: Trichobilharzia regenti
Lineage: Eukaryota; Metazoa; Platyhelminthes; Trematoda; Strigeidida; Schistosomatidae
Source: Rfam